AGAAAGUUGAUUAGAAUCUUUAAGGCUAGAAUCAUGAGAAUUAGGUGACAUUAAUAUAGAACUCUGAAGACUGCUGCUAGGUGCGAGUUGCUACUUAUUUUCGGCGAUAGGAGUUUCUAAAUUAAAAGAUUUAGUAUUAUAUCAUUAGGUAAACAUGAAGAAGGUUGAGCAGGAAGAAGUCCCAUUUGGAACAAAUUAGGAGAAGGUUCUCCUGAACGUGGGAGAUAGAUUGGAAAAUGAGAAGAUUUAGAGGAGUUAUCUAAAAAUAUAUCGGAUGAGAUAGAAUUAGGUACGGUUAUUGGCUGAGUAGAAAAGAAGGUCUGAAAUGGAAAAGAGUCUUCAACAAAAUGAACAUGUCGAGAGAUGAUAACUCUAUUUGAAUUAGGACCCAAACACUUAAAACCUUUGUGUUUAUCAG
RNAcentral lists this long non-coding RNA (418 nucleotides) under Capsicum annuum. RNAcentral's name for it is "long non-coding RNA (CANN_LNC019217)". The record is from RNAcentral. Lineage: Eukaryota; Viridiplantae; Streptophyta; Magnoliopsida; Solanales; Solanaceae.